This 468-nucleotide ribosomal RNA is filed under the name uncultured bacterium. Its description in RNAcentral is "partial 16S ribosomal RNA". It matches the Rfam family "Bacterial small subunit ribosomal RNA", at positions 28 to 507 of the family's 1533-position model. The record is from RNAcentral.
GACGAACGCUGGCGGCGUGCUUAACACAUGCAAGUCGAACGGAAAGGCCCUGCUUUUGUUGGGUGCUCGAGUGGCGAACGGGUGAGUAACACGUGAGUAACCUGCCCUUGACUUUGGGAUAACUUCAGGAAACUGGGGCUAAUACCGGAUAGGAGCUCCUGCUGCAUGGGGGGGGUUGGAAAGUUUCGGCGGUUGGGGAUGGACUGGCGGCUUAUCAGCUUGUUGGUGGGGUAGUGGCUGACCAGGGCUUUGACGGGUAGCCGGCAUGGGAGGGUGACCGGCGUCAUUGGGACUGAGAUACGGACCAGACUCCUACGGGAGGCAGCAGGGGAGAAUAUUGCACAAUGGGCGGAAGCCUGAGGCAGCAACGCCGCGGGCGGGAUGACGGCCUUCGGGUUGUAAACCGCUUUCGCCGGUGACGAAGCGGGAGUGACGGUAAUGGGUAAAGAAGCACCGGCUAACUACGUG